GGUCCACACCAGAUCAUCCUGAAUGUGCUCCAUCUCACCUGAUCUCGGAAGCUGAGCAGGAUUGGGCUUGGUUAGUACUUGGAUGAGAGACCACCUGGGACUACCAGGUGCCUGUACUC
Ribosomal RNA from Otolemur garnettii (small-eared galago), 119 nucleotides. Lineage: Eukaryota; Metazoa; Chordata; Mammalia; Primates; Galagidae. The record is from Ensembl.